This 426-nucleotide ribosomal RNA is filed under the name uncultured bacterium. Its description in RNAcentral is "bacterial SSU rRNA". It matches the Rfam family "Bacterial small subunit ribosomal RNA", at positions 359 to 776 of the family's 1533-position model. The record is from RNAcentral.
GAAUCUUGGUCAAUGGGGGAAACCCUGAACCAGCAACGCCGCGUGAGGGAUGAAGGCCCUCGGGUCGUAAACCUCUGUCGGGAGGGAAGAAAGGAUCUCUGGCCAAUACCCAGGGGUACUGACGGUACCUUCAAAGGAAGCGCCGGCUAACUCCGUGCCAGCAGCCGCGGUAAUACGGAGGGCGCGAGCGUUGUUCGGAAUCAUUGGGCGUAAAGCGCGUGUAGGCGGCUGGGCAAGUCGGAUGUGAAAGCCCGGGGCUCAACCCCGGAAUUGCAUUCGAAACUGCCUGGCUCGAGUCUCGGAGAGGAGGGCGGAAUUCCCGGUGUAGAGGUGAAAUUCGUAGAUAUCGGGAGGAACACCAGUGGCGAAGGCGGCCCUCUGGACGAUGACUGACGCUGAGAUGCGAAAGCGUGGGGAGCAAACAGG